CAAUCUCAUAGCGGACUCCCCGGUGUUGCCCUUAUGAUCUCCCCACUCCCUCUUCAGUGUUCUGUGAGCCUUAGGUGUGGGACUUGUUUUGUAAAUGUAUCUACCGGGACUGACUGCACUCCACACCCUGACACUCUUUCCUCUACUUUUACUCAGAAUAUUUAUUUUGAAAUUCUCAUUUUAUUUCACAGGAUGGAUAUCCCAUUGAGUACUUAUUCACCUACUGAUAUAUGUUUGAGUUGUGUCCAGUUUCUUGCGCAUCAUAAUAAAGCCGUGUGUAAACCCAUGGUUAUGCUGGUGUCAAUACUUCCCAGAGCUGCAGAGUCAGAUAUCCGGGACGUAGCUGCCGGGCCUCUGAAGGUGUUGAUUGAAUGUUAUCACUCGGGGGAGCUGAGUCAUUUCUACUCAUACAUGAUACAUUGCAUCUCCUCACCAUACUCUGUCUUGCAAAAAAUUGUUUUCUACACUAAGUAUAAAAAGAUAAUAGUGAGAUAAAAAGAUACUAAAUGCUUGUCCUAUUACAAAAUCUUGCUCAAUCCUUUUUAAAAACCCCAUUAAUAUUUUAUUCGUUUCUCUAUUUUCUUUUUCCCUUUUUUUGGUGUAUGGCGUAUGGGGUCGUGUGUGUGUGUGUGUGUUGUGUGUGUUGUGUAUGUGCAUGCCUGUAGAGGUCAGAGGUUGAGCAUUAGAUAUGCUCCUCAAUUAAUAUCCAUCUUACUCUUUGAGCUAGGGUCUCUUGUUUAAUUUGGAGCUUGCUUAUCUGCCUAGACUGGCUGGCCCACAAGCCCAAGGAUUC
RNAcentral lists this long non-coding RNA (793 nucleotides) under Mus spicilegus (steppe mouse). RNAcentral describes it as "lncRNA (ENSMSIG00000003456.1)". The record is from RNAcentral. Lineage: Eukaryota; Metazoa; Chordata; Mammalia; Rodentia; Muridae.